AGGCUUGUAGCUCAGGUGGUUAGAGCGCACCCCUGAUAAGGGUAAGGUCGGUGGUUCAAGUCCACUCAGGCCUACCA
This 77-nucleotide transfer RNA is filed under the name Salmonella enterica. RNAcentral describes it as "tRNA-Ile". It matches the Rfam family "tRNA". From Rfam's summary of the family: Transfer RNA (tRNA) molecules are approximately 80 nucleotides in length. Their secondary structure includes four short double-helical elements and three loops (D, anti-codon, and T loops). Further hydrogen bonds mediate the characteristic L-shaped molecular structure. tRNAs have two regions of fundamental functional importance: the anti-codon, which is responsible for specific mRNA codon recognition, and the 3' end, to which the tRNAs corresponding amino acid is attached (by aminoacyl-tRNA synthetases). tRNAs cope with the degeneracy of the genetic code in two manners: having more than one tRNA (with a specific anti-codon) for a particular amino acid; and 'wobble' base-pairing, i.e. permitting non-standard base-pairing at the 3rd anti-codon position. Lineage: Bacteria; Pseudomonadati; Pseudomonadota; Gammaproteobacteria; Enterobacterales; Enterobacteriaceae. RNAcentral also lists the same sequence under 1 other name. The record is from RNAcentral.